CUAUUUCUCUUUCUAAAAAUUUCACGCUUCUCCUCUAACCCUUCUCUCUCUCUCUCUCUGAUUGCUCUGUUUUUUUUUCUCCAUUUUUCUUUCACAACGAAAACUCAAAGUAGAGACAUUUAGAGUUUAUUUCGCGGUUUUAUCUUGGAGAAUUUUUUGGCUUCAGAAAGUUUUCAGGAUUCUAAGCUUUUGUCUGCUCUGUUUCUGGCCUUUCUGCAUGCAAAAUGCAAUUGCAUUCGUGAGUAUAUUAACUUCCAAAACCCUGAAUAUUGCAUUUUUUUCAUAAUUAAUAUUGCCUUUUUUCUGAAAAUCGUUUUGAAGCCAUAUAAUUUUGUGGAAAAUGAUAGUAUAACUUUUUCGUGUUUGACAAAGAAAGUUCAGAAAACAAAUGGAAACAAGCUGCGGCGAAUUUUAGAAACAUGAACAUUUUCAUAUAGUUUUCUUUGGUUUUCUCUCUCUCUCUCUCUCGUGAUAUUAGUUUUUUAUUUGUUCAUUUUGCUCAUCAUUGCUGCCGGAAACUAAACUUAGAGAGAAUUACGCAGGAUUUUCCAUAAAUGAAAGAUCUCGAUCGGUGAGAAUUUAAGAUUGGAC
RNAcentral lists this long non-coding RNA (591 nucleotides) under Nicotiana tabacum (common tobacco). Its description in RNAcentral is "long non-coding RNA (NTAB_LNC009175)". The record is from RNAcentral. Lineage: Eukaryota; Viridiplantae; Streptophyta; Magnoliopsida; Solanales; Solanaceae.